Pimephales promelas (fathead minnow) is the source of this 1132-nucleotide non-coding RNA. NCBI's taxonomy places the organism in Eukaryota, Metazoa, Chordata, Actinopteri, Cypriniformes, Leuciscidae. The record is from RefSeq and is a predicted model, not a curated record.
UAUGGGGACAUUUUGAAUUAUGGGGACAUGACCGGUGUCCUCAUAAUUCUAACAGUGUAGAAGUGCUUCUAUACCUAGAGGGAGCUCAAAUCCAAAAUUUCUCCACAAGUCCCCAUAGUUCACAUUUACAUGAUUUUGUGUAAAACGUGUGUAUCGAGACAGUGCCCCUGUAGGUGGGUCUGGGGUACUGCACCUCCUCAUGAAUAUUCACACUUGUGUAUGAAAUCGCAGUUUGUGAUUGGCUGUGACCGCCGGAAGUCCUCAUAAUUUCGGGUUUUGUCAGACCACUGUGUUAAUGUGUUUACCUCACACGAGUUAAUGCAGUUUACUAACUAUUUAAACAUUAUUGUUUUAUAAUUUAUCAAUUGUCAAUGAAAUAUAUAAAUGCAGAGUGACCCUGCAAUGAUAAAUAAUCCGUAAAUAUCAUAUUAUGAAAAAUGAAAAUAGCUUGAAAGCUGUUCGCAAUCAGUUUAAUGGAGAAACGCGACCCUAACCACACUAUUAACUGCUAUAUCAUAGACUAUAUCAUAGAUGGCUAUUUACAUACAUAAUGGUAUUAUUAUUCUACAAUAUCGUUUAUUAUAAUCCAUAUGGUCUAAUAAUCAUAGUUUAGCGUCGCGUUUAUUUCCUGUUUGGACCGGGUGGAAACUGCAGCUGAGAAGACACCUGUGAUUUGGACCUGUUUAAAGCAACUAUUACUGGAAAGCAGACACUCUGAGAGCCCAAGCCACUGGAUGAGGCGUAGUUUUCACUUCAGAACAAAGACAGAUUCAUCAAUGAUUUUAAAGGGAGAGGAGUGUUCAGUUGCUCUGAGUUUCAUAAGGGAGAUUUCCUGCUUGAAUAUGGAGGAGACUAAGAAAAGAAGAAGAACGAGAGCGAAGGCAAAGAGUAUCUCAUCAUGACGAGUUUCAUUACGAUGGAAAACUCCUCUGUGUUGAUCAGCCCGAGAUGACGGUUCCCUUGGUUGACCAUAUGAACCCGACCUGCAGGAUGAAGACUAUCGCUGUGGAUGGAAAACCUCAGCUAUGCUUGUUUGCUCCAAACAAUGAAGAGAUCACAUAUAAUCAUGGUGAUCCUGAGUGGCCAAGUGAUGCACGAUGAGCCAUUUGAAAACUCACAUGGCUGAAGUGGG